AUUGAUCGCUGGCGGCAGGCCUAACACAUGCAAGUCGAACGGUAACAGGAAGAAGCUUGCUUCUUUGCUGACGAGUGGCGGACGGGUGAGUAAUGUCUGGGAAACUGCCUGAUGGAGGGGGAUAACUACUGGAAACGGUAGCUAAUACCGCAUAACGUCGCAAGACCAAAGAGGGGGACCUUCGGGCCUCUUGCCAUCGGAUGUGCCCAGAUGGGAUUAGCUAGUAGGUGGGGUAACGGCUCACCUAGGCGACGAUCCCUAGCUGGUCUGAGAGGAUGACCAGCCACACUGGAACUGAGACACGGUCCAGACUCCUACGGGAGGCAGCAGUGGGGAAUAUUGCACAAUGGGCGAAAGCCUGAUGCAGCCAUGCCGCGUGUAUGAAGAAGGCCUUCGGGUUGUAAAGUACUUUCAGCGGGGAGGAAGGGAGUAAAGUUAAUACCUUUGCUCAUUGACGUUACCCGCAGAAGAAGCACCGGCUAACUCCGUG
This 490-nucleotide ribosomal RNA is filed under the name uncultured bacterium. RNAcentral describes it as "partial 16S ribosomal RNA". It matches the Rfam family "Bacterial small subunit ribosomal RNA", at positions 30 to 507 of the family's 1533-position model. The record is from RNAcentral.